UACGUAGGUGGCAAGCGUUGUCCGGAUUUAUUGGGCGUAAAGCGCGCGCAGGUGGUGCGGUAAGUCUGCCGUGAAAUCUCCCGGCUCAACUGGGAGGGGGCGGUGGAGACUGCCGGACUGGAGGGACUCAGAGGCCGGUGGAAUUCCCGGUGUAGUGGUGAAAUGCGUAGAGAUCGGGAGGAACACCAGUGGCGAAGGCGGCCGGCUGGGGGUGCCCUGACGCUGAGGCGGCGGAAAGCGUGGGGAGCGAACCGGG
This 256-nucleotide ribosomal RNA is filed under the name uncultured bacterium. RNAcentral's name for it is "partial 16S ribosomal RNA". It matches the Rfam family "Bacterial small subunit ribosomal RNA", at positions 524 to 777 of the family's 1533-position model. The record is from RNAcentral.